GUAAUGCUUAGGAAUCUGCCUAUUAGUGGGGGACAACAUCUCGAAUGGGAUGCUAAUACCGCAUACGUCCUACGGGAGAAAGCAGGGGACCUUCGGGCCUUGCGCUAAUAGAUGAGCCUAAGUCGGAUUAGCUAGUUGGUGGGGUAAAGGCCUACCAAGGCGACGAUCUGUAGCGGGUCUGAGAGGAUGAUCCGCCACACUGGGACUGAGACACGGCCCAGACUCUUACGGGAGGCAGCAGUGGGGAAUAUUGGACAAUGGGGGGAACCCUGAUCCAGCCAUGCCGCGUGUGUGAAGAAGGCCUUUUGGUUGUAAAGCACUUUAAGCGAGGAGGAGGCUACCGAGAUUAAUACUCUUGGAUAGUGGACGUUACUCGCAGAAUAAGCACCGGCUAACUCUGUGCCAGCAGCCGCGGUAAUACAGAGGGUGCAAGCGUUAAUCGGAUUUACUGGGCGUAAAGCGCGCGUAGGUGGCCAAUUAAGUCAAAUGUGAAAUCCCCGAGCUUAACUUGGGAAUUGCAUUCGAUACUGGUUGGCUAGAGUAUGGGAGAGGAUGGUAGAAUUCCAGGUGUAGCGGUGAAAUGCGUAGAGAUCUGGAGGAAUACCGAUGGCGAAGGCAGCCAUCUGGCCUAAUACUGACACUGAGGUG
Molecule: ribosomal RNA, 648 nt
Filed under: uncultured bacterium
Lineage: Bacteria
Description: bacterial SSU rRNA
Rfam family: Bacterial small subunit ribosomal RNA
Source: RNAcentral